AGUCAAUUCUAGUUUGUUCUGGUGCCAUUUUCGUUACAAUAGGAAUCAGAAAAUGCAACCCUGCGUCAGCUGGCGAUUAGAAGAAUUAUAGAAGUUCAGCAUUAUUUUUUUUACGACACUGAUGAAUGAAUGCGUGAUCACAGUGGCUAUAUAUACGAGUGGUUAUAAUCUGCACCGUGCAUAUGAUAGGCUCACCACCUAUUUAAAGUCAAAAUCUGUUUACCAGAGUUUUUACCACGGUUGGCUAGUAGGGUAUGAAAUCAAUUUAUUAAAAAAUGCAAUAGUUGCAUAGAUAUUUGUUUGGACAAGUAUUUAAAGUAUAAUUUGGCAACUAUGGCAAUGUGAUAUCUUUUGCUCAUCACUAUAUUUAUUGUUUAGAGUAGUCAAAAUUAUAACAUUGGAAAUUUUAUUCAUUCAUAUCUUAAACCACAUUUCAACAAAACUGAUUAAUGGAAAUUAACUGGUGCUACCUAUUUGGCAUUUAUGUGUAUUGUCACGCAAAUGCAACGAAAGUAAUGAUGUACACGGAAGUCUAACAGAAACACUUAGCUUAUUAUACGAUAUACUAAGCUACUCUUACAUUCCGGUUGUGCUUGAACCAAUGUUACCAGAUAACGUAAAAGCAAAUGAUUUAGGCAUAAAGUAAGGUGACUUCGUUUUUUUUUUAAUUUAGACGUUUAUAAACAAAUUUAGUUGGUGGUUGUUUUGUUUGGGGAAUGUGUAUUUUGAGAAAUUUUUACAAUUAUUAUUAAGACAAAUAUAUUUCUUUAAUGCUUUUAACUUCUGAAACCAUUUAUUUCGGCUGCAAAGCCGUUCCAUUGUUUCUCACCAGUUGUUUACAUUGUCCGAAUGUCCAGGUUCCUCGUGCAAUUUCCGAAUGGUUUGCAUUAAAAACACCAACUUCUCGAACUGUUUGCUGGUUGUUACAUUAGAUAAUGUUUCAAAAACAACUCAUUUAUUUAUAUAUAUCGCGAAGCAGUGAGACUAUACCAAGUCGAUAAACAGAUAGCGGUGGGUAAAGUUGGCGACCCUAGUAAACUACAAAAAUCGUUGAAAUCAAAUUUGGUAAACGGAAAUUAAAAAAAAGGUUAUAAAUAUAUUAUUGGUUAUGUUCCAUAUGUACAUACUUAUUUUAGUUUUGGAUGGUGAUUGGAGGCCACUGACUUAUGGGAUGGGAAUGGUGAAUGAUGGAAGUGACGAGCUUUGACCUCUGUCGCGUAAACCACGGGAAUCCGUACAAUCCAUUUUUGGUUGAAGACGCAACACAUACACAGAAGAUAAGAGUCCCAGUGGCGGGUCAUUAAACGAAUAAUUAUAAUAAAUAUAAUCAUGAAAUACAUAUGGAGGAAAAAUAUGCCUUAUAAUCAUGAAAAUCCAUUUGUUAAAAUAAUUGAAAACAUACAUAUUAGCCAUAAAAUCAAUUUCAUAAAUUUUCUUUAUAUCUUACUUUAAAAUAGUUUUAUCCCUUUGAUUUGUUUGCGGAAUAUCUAGAUACGGCAACACUUUUAUUUGCCAACUUUUGAAUCUUUUGUUAUUGUGCAAAUGAACAGAAUUGUUUAAAAUAUUAAAUAUUUAUUUACAGCAAAUAUCGUAAUAACUAAUAUACAUGUGGAAAGUAUUAAUGUUAAAAAAUUGUAUAAUAGAAAUAAAAAAUCAAUAUAAAUCGAGAAAUAACAAUUUAAAUGUUGUUAAUUUUUAAACGUUAAUGGAUAUUGGCCAUAUUCAUAUAUUCUUAUUCUGGAGAAUCUCCUCUAUUCGACCACAACUAUUAUAAUCCAGAAAUCGUGGAAUCUUAUACUAAAACCAACCUUUUUAUAUUAAAUUGCAUUGUUUGUAAACAUUUAAUUAUUAAAUAUCAAGAACUCAUUUACAAUAUUUUCUUUGGAGAUAUUCACGUUGAAAAAUUUGCCAACUAACAAU
Molecule: long non-coding RNA, 1920 nt
Organism: Zeugodacus cucurbitae (melon fly)
Lineage: Eukaryota; Metazoa; Arthropoda; Insecta; Diptera; Tephritidae
Exons: 2
Source: RefSeq, a predicted model, not a curated record